ACCACGGUGGUGUAGUGGUAACACGUAUGCCCGGUGUGCACAAAACGCGGGUUCGACUCCCUCCCGAGGUC
Non-coding RNA from Parelaphostrongylus tenuis, 71 nucleotides. The record is from the annotation of a GenBank genome assembly. NCBI's taxonomy places the organism in Eukaryota, Metazoa, Nematoda, Chromadorea, Rhabditida, Metastrongylidae.